Small nuclear RNA from Otolemur garnettii (small-eared galago), 101 nucleotides. The record is from Ensembl. NCBI's taxonomy places the organism in Eukaryota, Metazoa, Chordata, Mammalia, Primates, Galagidae.
AAUAAACUAAUUAAUUACUUGAUUGAAUUAGAGGAAUAAAGGGAUUAGCAUGGCCCCUGUGUAAAAAAGACAUACAUAUUCAUGAAGCAUUCCACAUUUUU